RNAcentral lists this ribosomal RNA (465 nucleotides) under uncultured bacterium. Its description in RNAcentral is "partial 16S ribosomal RNA". It matches the Rfam family "Bacterial small subunit ribosomal RNA", at positions 28 to 507 of the family's 1533-position model. The record is from RNAcentral.
GAUGAACGCUGGCGGCGUGCUUAACACAUGCAAGUCGAACGGAAAGGCUCCUGCUUGCAGGGGUACUCGAGUGGCGAACGGGUGAGUAACACGUGGGUGAUCUGCCCUGCACUUCGGGAUAAGCCUGGGAAACUGGGUCUAAUACCGGAUAGGACCACAUUUUGGAUGGUGUGGUGGAAAGUUUUUCGGUGUGGGAUGAGCUCGCGGCCUAUCAGCUUGUUGGUGGGGUAAUGGCCUACCAAGGCGUCGACGGGUAGCCGGCCUGAGAGGGUGUACGGCCACAUUGGGACUGAGAUACGGCCCAGACUCCUACGGGAGGCAGCAGUGGGGAAUAUUGCACAAUGGGCGCAAGCCUGAUGCAGCGACGCCGCGUGGGGGAUGACGGCCUUCGGGUUGUAAACUCCUUUCGCUAGGGACGAAGCGCAGGUGACGGUACCUGGAGAAGAAGCACCGGCUAACUACGUG